This 393-nucleotide unclassified non-coding RNA is filed under the name Hevea brasiliensis (rubber tree). The record is from RNAcentral. Lineage: Eukaryota; Viridiplantae; Streptophyta; Magnoliopsida; Malpighiales; Euphorbiaceae.
CAGCCAUUAGCAAUCUCAUAUAGACCUUCGUCACCAACCACAGGCAAAUUCCACAAGGAAAGAGCCCUAAGUGAAGGGCAGCCACGUGCAAUUGCCCUCAGGCCUACAUUUGUCACCCCAUGGCCAGAAUUGUUUCCACGGAUAGAAAGCUUGCCCAAACCCCCUCGACUAGCAGUUCCAACCGCAAUAGCUGCAAGUCUAAUAUCAGUGGCCUUCUUCCCCUCAAGCUCCUGGAAAGGUAUCCCUCACCCUCAAUUUCUUGGUCUUCAGCCUCAGAUUUCACCUCACCAGCCUUUUCAACUGAUUCAUUCAACAACUGGGUAGUUUUCUUGCUGCAGAGUUCAGCCCUGGACAUAUUGCUCAUAAGAGAAAGCCAGCGCUUUGAAACACAAG